GAUCCUGGCUCAGAUUGAACGCUGGCGGCAUGCUUUACACAUGCAAGUCGAACGGUAACAGGGAGCUUGCUCCGCUGACGAGUGGCGAACGGGUGAGUAAUGCAUCGGAACGUACCCAGUCGUGGGGGAUAACGUAGCGAAAGUUACGCUAAUACCGCAUACGUCCUGAGGGAGAAAGCGGGGGACCGAAAGGCCUCGCGCGAUUGGAGCGGCCGAUGUCGGAUUAGCUAGUUGGUAGGGUAAAGGCCUACCAAGGCGACGAUCCGUAGCGGGUCUGAGAGGAUGAUCCGCCACACUGGGACUGAGACACGGCCCAGACUCCUACGGGAGGCAGCAGUGGGGAAUUUUGGACAAUGGGCGCAAGCCUGAUCCAGCCAUGCCGCGUGAGUGAAGAAGGCCUUCGGGUUGUAAAGCUCUUUCAGGUGGAAAGAAAACGCAUGGGUCAAUACCCUGUGUGGAUGACGGUACCAUCAGAAGAAGCACCGGCUAACUACGUG
Molecule: ribosomal RNA, 497 nt
Filed under: uncultured bacterium
Lineage: Bacteria
Description: bacterial SSU rRNA
Rfam family: Bacterial small subunit ribosomal RNA
Source: RNAcentral